This 492-nucleotide ribosomal RNA is filed under the name uncultured bacterium. Its description in RNAcentral is "partial 16S ribosomal RNA". It matches the Rfam family "Bacterial small subunit ribosomal RNA", at positions 29 to 507 of the family's 1533-position model. The record is from RNAcentral.
AGUGAACGCUGGCGGUAGGCCUAACACAUGCAAGUCGAACGGCAGCACAGUAAGAGCUUGCUCUUACGGGUGGCGAGUGGCGGACGGGUGAGGAAUACAUCGGAAUCUACUUUUUCGUGGGGGAUAACGUAGGGAAACUUACGCUAAUACCGCAUACGACCUACGGGUGAAAGCAGGGGAUCUUCUGACCUUGCGCGAUUGAAUGAGCCGAUGUCGGAUUAGCUAGUUGGCGGGGUAAAGGCCCACCAAGGCGACGAUCCGUAGCUGGUCUGAGAGGAUGAACAGCCACAGUGGGACUGAGACACGGCCCAGACGCCUACGGGAGGCAGCAGUGGGGAAUUUUGGACAAUGGGCGCAAGCCUGAUCCAGCAAUGCCGCGUGCGGGAAGAAGGCCUUCGGGUUGUAAACCGCUUUUGGCAGGAACGAAACGGUGUCCGCUAAUACCGGGCGCUAAUGACGGUACCUGCAGAAUAAGCACCGGCUAACUACGUG